AUUAAACUUUACAACUCCUCCCUUGGAGGGUCAGACACCCUGAGCCAAUAGGCUGGUCCUGGACUUAUUUCCUGGCAUAAUUUACAUAUUACUUGUUGACUAUUUAUGAUUUUAUUACUAUUUAUUAUUUAUGGAGCAACUGUAACGAAAAUCCAAUUUCCCCCGGGAUCAAAAAGGUAUGACUAUGACUAUGAGGUAGGACUGAUUAGAGAUAAAGGUGGGAAUAUAUGCCUGGAGGCUGUGGCAGUGGGCGAGAUCCGCAAUGAAUAUUUCUCUUUGGUAUUCACCAGUGAGAAGGAACAAUGAUGGUGAGGACAAUAUGAGUGAGGGUGAUGUUCUGGAGCAUGUUAAUAUUAAGGGAGAGGAAGUGUUAGAGUUACUAAAAUACAUUAGGACGGAUAAGUCUCCGGGGCCAGAUGGAAUAUUCCCCAGGCUGCUCCACGAGGCGAGGGAAGAGAUUGCUGAGACCCUGGCUAGGAACUUUAUGUCCUUGUUGUCUACGGGAAUGGUACCGGAGGAUUGGAGGGAGGCAAAUGUUGUCCCCUUGUUCAAAAAAGGUAGUAGGGAUAGUCUGGGUAAUAAUAGACCAGUGAGCCUUACAUCUGUGGUGGGAAAGCUGUUGGAAAAGAUUCUUAGAGAUAGGAUCUAUGGGCAUGUAGAGAAUCAUGGUCUGACCAGGGACAGUCAGCCUGGUUUUGUGAAGGGCAGAUCGUGUCGAACAAGCCUGAUAGAGUUCUUUUAGGAGGUGACCAGGCAUGUAGAUGAGGGUAGUGCAAUGGAUGUGAUCUACAUGGAUUUUAGUAAGGCAUUUGACAAGGUUCCACAUGGUAGGCUUAUUCAGAAAGUCAGAAGGCAUGGGACCCAGGAAAGUUUGGCCAGGUGGAUUCAGAAUUGGCUUGCUGAAGAAGGCAGAGGGUGGUGGUGGAGGGAGUACAUUCGGAUUGGAGGAUUGUGACUGGUGGUGUCCCACAAGGAUCUGUUCUGGGACCUCUACUUUUCGUGAUUUUUAUUAACGACCUGGAUGUGGGGAUAGAAAGAUGGGUUGGCAAGUUUGCAGAUGACACAAAGAUCGGUGGUGUUGUAGAUAGUGUAGAGGAUUGUCGAAGAUUGCAGAGAGACAUUGAUAGGAUGCAGAAGUGGGCUGAGAAGUGGCAGAUGGAGUUCAACCCGGAGAAGUGUGAGGCGGUACACUUAGGAAGGACAAACUCCAAGGCAGAGUACAAAGUAAAUGGCAGGAUACUUGGUAGUGUGGAGGAGCAGAGGGAUCUGGGGGUACAUGUCCACAGAUCCCUGAAAGUUGCCUCACAGGUGGAUAAGGUAGUUAAGAAAGCUUAUGGGGUGUUAGCUUUCAUAAGUCGAGGGAUAUAGUUUAAGAGUCGCGAUGUAAUGAUGCAGUUCUAUAAAACUCUGGUUAUGCCACACUUGGAGUACUGUGUCCAGUUCUGGUCGCCUCACUAAGGGAAGGAUGUGGAAACAUUGGAAAGUGUACAGAGGAGAUUUACCAGGAUGCUGCCUGGUUUAUAGAGUAUGCAUUAUGAUAGAGAUUAAGGGAGCUAGGGCUAUACUCUUUGGAGAGAAAGAGGAUGAGAGGAGACAUGAUAGAGGUAUACAAGAUAUUAAGAGGAAUAGAUAGAAUGGACAGCCAGCACCUCUUCCCCAGGGCACCACCGCUCAAUGCAAGGGGACAUAGCUUUAACGUACGGGGUGGGAAGUUCAAGGGGGAUAUUAGAGGAAGGUUUUUUACUCAGAGAGUGGUUGGUGCGUGGAAUACCCUCCCUGAGUCAGCGGUGGAGACAGAUACACUAGUGAAACUUAAGAGACUACUAGAUAGGUAUAUGGAGGAAUUUACGGUAGUGGGUUAUAUGGGAGGCAGGGUUCGAGGGUGAGCACAACAAUGUGGGCUGAAGGGCCUGUACUGUGCUAUACUAUUCUAUGUUCUAUGUACUUAUUAACUUUUUUUUUGUAUUUGCACAGUUUGUCUUCUUUCGCACAUUCAUUAAUUGUUGGUCUUAGUGAGUAGUUUUUCAUUGAUUCUGUUGUUCAGCUGUGAAUGCCUGCAAGAAAAUAAAUCUGAAGGUAAUAUUUGGUGACAUACAAGUACUUUGAAACUAAAUUUACUUUGAACUUUCAACUUCUUAAAGGAAGAAGAUGCUGCUGAAAUCUUAGCAAUGGAAGGUGUAAAUUGAAAUUCUGUUUGGGCUAAAAAUGGAUAGAGAGAGAAAAUAGGAAUUGCAUUCACAAUGGAUAAAGCACCAUGCGCAGAUUUGAUGGGCUUCACGUUGAUGAGGAAAGUAAGGGAGGGAAUUGCAAAGGUAUUAGCUACAAUCUACCGGAGAUCAGUAGGUUUAGGGGAAAUGUCUCGCAUUGGAAAACAGCAAUUGUUCAAAUAAAGAUAAAUCCUAUACUGUCCUCAACUGCUUUCUGUACGGAGCUUGCACAUUCUUUCUGUUUACUCUCAAGUACUCUGCUUUCCUCCCAUAUUCCAAAUAUCAAGCUGAUUGGCCAGUUAAAUUUCUACUGUAAAUUUACACCAGUGUAUCAGAAAGUGGUAGAAUCUGGAAAGAAAAUUUAGACAGUGGGGAGAGAACGAUGAGAGUGCAGGGAGAAUAAUGAAAUGGGGCUCUAUGAUGUAAAUGAGUGGUUGAUGGUCAGUGUGGAGUUGGAGGCCUAUUCCCCUCCUGUAUGUUUUUGUGACUCUACAUCUUUAUGAGUCAAUGAAGGAGAUGUGGUAUAUGUUAAGUCCCAAUAUGUCUUUGAUAAAAAGUCACAAUAUCUAUAUCAUACAGAAUGAAGGCCAUGGAAUAAAGAGGCCAAGAGAGAAUGCUAGCUAAGUAACCAGAAAGAGAGCGCGUUCAUUAAUACAAUGAAGGUCAAGAGGUUUGUGUUUCUGAGGUCCAAGGUGGUCAGACCCAGCUGAUCUCCUGAUGCUUGGGAUAUCAGCAGCCAUGAAGACAAGCACUCGCAAGAUCAAAAUUCUGCAGAUGCUGGGAGUCUGAAACAAAGGAAGAAAACACUGGGAACACUUAGCAGAACACGAUAUAAAGGACAUAAAAUGAACAAUAAUUGUACUGAGAUCAACUGUCAGAGUCAACAGAGUGGUUAAAAGACUUGCCCUUUGAUGAAAAUGGAAAAUGUUGGAAACACACAGUGGUCAGGCAACACCUCUGAAAAGAGAAACAUUAAAUGUGCCAGGUUAAAGACAACCAAAACUAAAUGUUACUCUUUUGUUACUCAGAAGGAUAUCAAAUUAUGAAACACCCACUUAGAAAUAAUGACAGAAGCAAACAUCCAUCUGUCAUUUUAAAAGAGGUAGUAGAAGUGCAUUUAGAAAAGUAUAGGGUAGUAAUGGGACAAAACAGAUUGUUCUUUUAUUGAAUAAGUCCAAGGGAUGAGCAGUUAUGAGGGUCCUGCUGUGCAGUUAUUGUAGAGUCACACAAGCCCUGUAAUAAAAGGCGAAUCAUUGGAGCUGUAUUUCCAGAGAUUAUCUGACUUAUCGGAAAGAAUUACAAAAGGUGAAUGGGGAAUGUCCCAAAGCAGCUGCACCAUUGUGCCUAUCUGAUCAGCCUGUUCAUUGGCCUGCCACAAAUUAGCACAGAAGAUACAGAAGAUUCCUGAGUGCUGCCUCACUGCGGGCACUAGUUGAC
This is a long non-coding RNA of Mobula hypostoma (lesser devil ray), 3644 nucleotides long. RefSeq lists it as uncharacterized. Lineage: Eukaryota; Metazoa; Chordata; Chondrichthyes; Myliobatiformes; Myliobatidae. The transcript is spliced from 4 exons. The record is from RefSeq and is a predicted model, not a curated record.